Molecule: ribosomal RNA, 427 nt
Filed under: uncultured bacterium
Lineage: Bacteria
Description: partial 16S ribosomal RNA
Rfam family: Bacterial small subunit ribosomal RNA
Source: RNAcentral
UGGGGAAUAUUGGACAAUGGGCGAAAGCCUGACCCAGCCAUGCCGCGUGUGUGAAGAAGGUCUUCGGAUUGUAAAGCACUUUAAGUUGGGAGGAAGGGUUGUAGAUUAAUACUCUGCAAUUUUGACGUUACCGACAGAAUAAGCACCGGCUAACUCUGUGCCAGCAGCCGCGGUAAUACAGAGGGUGCAAGCGUUAAUCGGAAUUACUGGGCGUAAAGCGCGCGUAGGUGGUUAGUUAAGUUGGAUGUGAAAUCCCCGGGCUCAACCUGGGAACUGCAUUCAAAACUGACUGACUAGAGUAUGGUAGAGGGUGGUGGAAUUUCCUGUGUAGCGGUGAAAUGCGUAGAUAUAGGAAGGAACACCAGUGGCGAAGGCGACCACCUGGACUGAUACUGACACUGAGGUGCGAAAGCGUGGGGAGCAAACA